GCAUAUCAGGAAAGGCACACAAUGUGAGGUUGAAAGGUGAGGCAACAAAUAAUGGUGCUGGAAGGAGACUAAUGGAACUGUGAAAUCAGAAAAUCUCCUGUCACAGCAUCCUAAGGUGACGCGAAUGAAGUCUGAACUCUGCAUGGCCUUGUCUCUAAUACCUUUUCAAGGUUUUCAUGCUUCUCCUUAGCGCAUAGUGAAUUUGACUGAGAUCAAGAAAUUAACAUCUUCAUAGAUCGUAAGCUCCAUGAGGGCACAAACCAGUUUCUGUUAUGAUCAGCUCUGUAGUUCCAAGCCAGCAUGGUCCUACACACAGCAGGUGCUCAAUAAAUUAUUAUUAAAUGAAUGAAUGAACUACUGAGUUUAAUUCAGCUUUGCCACUUAUUGUGUGACAACAAUAACUUUUAUACUGAUACUAUAUACCAGACACUCAGCACCACAGGCAAAACAUCAUAUAAAACAAUGCCUUUGCCUUCAAGAAGCCUAGAGUCGAGGAAAAGAUAUAUACAUAUAUACAUACACCAAAAAGUAUUGUAAGAGCUCUGAUAAAAACACAUUCAGGGUAGGGAGCCGGCCCAGUGACUUAGCGGUUAAAUGCACAUGCUCCACUUUGGCGGCCCAGGGUUCACAGGUUUGGAUCCCGGGCGCAGACCAACACACUGCUUGUCAAGCCUUGUUGUGGUGGCAUCCCAUAUAAAGUAGAGGAAGAUGGGCACUGAUGUUAGCACAUGGCCAAUCUUCCUCAGCAAAAAGAGGAGGAUUAGCAACGCAUGUUAGCUCAGGGCUAAUCUUCCUCAUAAAAGAAAAACACAUUCAGGGUAAAGGAGGAAACAAUCAUUUCUAUAUGAGAAGAAGGGUCAGGAAAAUCAUUUUUUAUAAAGUGACCUGUGAACUGAGUUUUGGACGAUAAGUAGGAAUGAACCAAGAGUCCAGGCCCUUGAGAUUUGCCAGCCCUAAACCUGACUCGACUUCAUCAUGGCCAUUGCAGCACCCCCUCCACGGCAUGAGCUCAUCUGCUGUGAUUCCAUUGGAACACUGUCAUGGAAGACUCUCUUGGAACCUGGACACCAGCUCUUCAAGAGACUUCUUAUCACCAUUACUAAAUAUUAGCCCUAGAGAUCUUCCAUUCUCUCAUCCAAACUCUUCUGGCCUCCCUUUACCUCUAUCCGAAUGAGCAGAGAAGCUAAAGGAUGGAUUACAGAGGUUUCAGCAUUCAGCAAUCUAAGGAAACAAGAUCUGCUGUCUCUGUUCAGAUAGAAUGCCUGUAUCUACCAAUAUCAGAGCUACCACCUAAAGAAUAUAAAGAGAAAGAAGUUAGAAAAGUGGAGAGGACCUGUGAAUCAAGCCCUGGAGAAGUCCACCAGUUCAUGCACAGGAGGAGGAGGAAGGGUCGGAAGAAUGUGAUGUCUCAGGAUUCAAGAGAAG
Molecule: long non-coding RNA, 1425 nt
Organism: Diceros bicornis minor
Lineage: Eukaryota; Metazoa; Chordata; Mammalia; Perissodactyla; Rhinocerotidae
Exons: 3
Source: RefSeq, a predicted model, not a curated record